This 254-nucleotide ribosomal RNA is filed under the name uncultured bacterium. RNAcentral describes it as "partial 16S ribosomal RNA". It matches the Rfam family "Bacterial small subunit ribosomal RNA", at positions 524 to 776 of the family's 1533-position model. The record is from RNAcentral.
UACGGGGGGAGCAAACGUUGUUCGGAUUUACUGGGCGUAAAGGGCGCGUAGGCGGUCAGCACAAGUCAGUUGUGAAAUCUCCGGGCUUAACUCGGAAAGGUCAACUGAUACUGUGCGACUAGAGUGCAGAAGGGGCAACUGGAAUUCUCGGUGUAGCGGUGAAAUGCGUAGAUAUCGAGAGGAACACCUGCGGCGAAGGCGGGUUGCUAGGCUGACACUGACGCUGAUGCGCGAAAGCCAGGGGAGCGAACGGG